UGUUUCCAUUAUAGAUACAAAAGCGUCACCGAAAUCUGGAGGUGCUGGUGCGACAAGCAAAAAAUCCCCGGCGGAAAAGCAGCAGGCGUCGGCAAGGGUGGCAAUUUCCAAGGAACAAAAGGGAUAGGUGCACAUUAUGCUGAAACUACUCAGAUGUUUAUUUCAAUUCGAAGCUCCUAGUAUGCCGAGACCAAAGAGUCAAGUAUAUCGAGGAGACAAUUGGGGAAAAAAAGAAGAAUUUUACAACUAUUUCAGAUAUUGUAACAUAUGCAGAGUUCAAUGGAGGAUUGUUCAAUUCAGGGGUACAUGUGUGCCUUCUGCGAGGUGUAUUAUUGAAUGUAGUUCAAACUGUUGAUUCUCCUAAUCGCACGCGUUUGCAGCAACAGAGUUAUAAAUGAAGGUAUAAAUUGAAGGGGCAUGCAGUCUACGGAAAUUUGUACAUUUUCUCUAAGUUCCACAAGUAAUUUGAAUUAAAAAUAUUAAAUACUUUUGAAGAUA
Long non-coding RNA from Phlebotomus papatasi, 498 nucleotides. RefSeq lists it as uncharacterized. The transcript has 2 exons. Lineage: Eukaryota; Metazoa; Arthropoda; Insecta; Diptera; Psychodidae. The record is from RefSeq and is a predicted model, not a curated record.